GACGAACGCUGGCGGCGUGCCUAAUACAUGCAAGUUGAGCGCUGAAGGUUGGUACUUGUACCAACUGGAUGAGCAGCGAACGGGUGAGUAACGCGUGGGGAAUCUGCCUUUGAGCGGGGGACAACAUUUGGAAACGAAUGCUAAUACCGCAUAAAAACUUUAAACACAAGUUUUAAGUUUGAAAGAUGCAAUUGCAUCACUCAAAGAUGAUCCCGCGUUGUAUUAGCUAGUUGGUGAGGUAAAGGCUCACCAAGGCGAUGAUACAUAGCCGACCUGAGAGGGUGAUCGGCCACAUUGGGACUGAGACACGGCCCAAACUCCUACGGGAGGCAGCAGUAGGGAAGCUUCGGCAAUGGACGAAAGUCUGACCGAGCAACGCUGCGUGAGUGAAGAAGGUUUUCGGAUCGUAAAACUCUGUUGGUAGAGAAGAACGUUGGUGAGAGUGGAAAGCUCAUCAAGUGACGGUAACUACCCAGAAAGGGACGGCUAACUACGUG
This 497-nucleotide ribosomal RNA is filed under the name uncultured bacterium. RNAcentral describes it as "partial 16S ribosomal RNA". It matches the Rfam family "Bacterial small subunit ribosomal RNA", at positions 28 to 507 of the family's 1533-position model. The record is from RNAcentral.